RNAcentral lists this long non-coding RNA (1795 nucleotides) under Equus caballus (horse). Its description in RNAcentral is "lncRNA (ENSECAG00000040503.3)". Lineage: Eukaryota; Metazoa; Chordata; Mammalia; Perissodactyla; Equidae. The record is from RNAcentral.
CAUUAGGCAGAAACAAGCCCUCAUGGGAGUUCAUGGCCCUCAUGUUUGGCAUUAUGAAUGGAAUGCAUGGGCAACACUUAGGCUGGGAUAAUACGAAAUGGAAAGUUGCUUCCAGAGCACGAUAAAUAAGAGCCCUUUUAGGUUAGUCCUCUUUUCUCUUUCUAACCCAAACUUCCCCUCCCCGACUUUAGAAGAGACAACAUACUCUUGAGGCGACCUGCUCUAGGGUCACCACACACAACCUGGACCACCUGGGCAGAAUUGCUAAAUCUGACUCAGAAGACAGAAUCCUCCCUGGCUGACCCAAACUCUAUACCCAGUGUCACUCAUCGAAAUCCAGGGAAAAUUGUUAUUUUUGGGUCAUAGUCACUUGCUCUCAAUCACCUGUCACAGUUGAUAUUUACUGAAGACCCAGGGUGGGCAGGGGACCCUUGGGGUACACCAUGGUGAUUGGAGAAGAAACCUGAGGGCGUCUUCCACAGGGACCCCUGGGCCCCGAGCCAGAGGAGCUGGGCUUUCUCCGGUGGGGUUUGGAUGGAUCCGGGUAAGUUGCAACAUGAGCUAUUUCAAACAGUGGUUGUUUUGCAGAAUUUGGGUUUUCCCCCCGGGGCCCAAAGUCAGCUGCUCCCUCCAAUCCUCUCACUCUCUCAUUCUCUUUCUUUGACACCGAGUCCUAGACUUUGGUUUCUCAGAAGUUUUAAAAGUCAUACUGGAAAGUUGGCCAAACAAAAACCUCUCUGACCAGAAGCAAUUGGCUUCCCCUUAAACAAGUCCCCCAAAGUUAAAUUACAAAGCGGGUUUGUCCCUUCGUUAGCAUUUGGCAAGGAUCUAGGAUGUGAAAACACUUCCCAUUUGAUUCGAUCAUAAUUUAGAAGAAAUAGUGCAAUUUUUGGCCUUUCACCACAUGUGGAAGUGUUUUCCUGUUGCUAUACCCGGCUGACAGUGUUAUCACAAGACCGUCCUUCUCCCGCACUGAGCUCCCCCAGCCCUUCGGAAACGGGAGAGUCGCACUUGAGGGGUCAGGAGCAUCCUGGGGCAGGUCAGUCUCACCACAUGAUGGGUCAGGUCCACAAUGGGAGAUGACAGCCGUGUCAGAGGGAGCACAGGCCCUGAGCCAGGCCAGGAGACCUAGUCUGUGGUUCUGGCUUUAUCGUCGACGCUGUGUGUGCCUUGUGUGAAAUCCUCUCCUCUCUCUGUAAUCCCAUUUCCUCACUCAUGAAAGGUAUGUUGUUAUUCCAGAGAAUGGCUCCACCAGACCAUGCAGGCAAAUCUACACUUGACAUGGAGUGGGGUCCAGUUUAGAGCUCUCAUUGGUUCAAAAAAUAUUAAUUGAGCUGUGCUCUAUGCCACCCUCUGCGUGGGUGGAAGAGACAUGAGCACCUCAGCGAGGACGGCUGAUCUCCGGAGAUUUGCUUCCCGGGGGAAAGACAGACAGCACCCAGUCAGCAAUGUGCAGGAUCCUCUCAGAUGGUGACACUGAGCUCCGAGAAGAACACAAAGUAAGACAAUGGGAUGGAGAUCAGGAAGCCAGCCGGCAGGAAACCUGGGCCAGCCCUUCCACCAACCAGGGCUCCGCUGUGAGCAGCCCCCAGCCCAGUUGUAUAUUCUAGUUGCAGGUCCUUCUAGCUCUGCUGUGUGGGACGCCACCUCAGCAUGGCUAAUGAGCAGUGCCACAUCUGUGCCCAGGAUCCGAACCAGUGAAACCCUGGGCCACCAAAGUGGAGCACAUGAACUUAACAACUUGGCCACGGGCCGGCCCCUGCUGCAGUGUUUUUUAAGGUUUGGGAUGAGAUCC